RNAcentral lists this transfer RNA (58 nucleotides) under Salmo salar (Atlantic salmon). It matches the Rfam family "tRNA", at positions 8 to 63 of the family's 71-position model. Rfam says of the family: Transfer RNA (tRNA) molecules are approximately 80 nucleotides in length. Their secondary structure includes four short double-helical elements and three loops (D, anti-codon, and T loops). Lineage: Eukaryota; Metazoa; Chordata; Actinopteri; Salmoniformes; Salmonidae. The record is from Rfam by way of RNAcentral.
UGGCUCAGUUGGUAGAGCAUGGUGUGUGCAACACCAGGGUUGUGGGUUCGAUACCCAC